Molecule: ribosomal RNA, 253 nt
Filed under: uncultured bacterium
Lineage: Bacteria
Description: partial 16S ribosomal RNA
Rfam family: Bacterial small subunit ribosomal RNA
Source: RNAcentral
UACGUAGGCAGCAAGCGUUGUUCGGAGUUACUGGGCGUAAAGGGUGUGUAGGCGGUCUUCUAAGUUUGGUGUGAAAUCUCCCGGCUCAACUGGGAGGGUGCGCCGAAAACUGGGAGGCUAGAGUGCGGGAUGGGAGAGUGGAAUUCCUGGUGUAGCGGUGAAAUGCGCAGAUAUCAGGAGGAACACCGAUGGCGAAGGCAGGUCUCUGGGCCACUACUGACGCUGAGAAGCGAAAGCGUGGGGAGCGAACAGG